RNAcentral lists this ribosomal RNA (253 nucleotides) under uncultured bacterium. RNAcentral describes it as "partial 16S ribosomal RNA". It matches the Rfam family "Bacterial small subunit ribosomal RNA", at positions 524 to 776 of the family's 1533-position model. The record is from RNAcentral.
UACGUAGGGGACGAGCGUUGUCCGGAUUUAUUGGGCGUAAAGAGCGCGUAGGCGGCUUGGUAAGUCGGAUGUGAAAUCCCGGGGCUCAACCCCGUGACUGCACCCGAAACUGCCCGGCUAGAGGUAGGUAGGGGAGAUCGGAAUUCCUGGUGUAGCGGUGAAAUGCGUAGAUAUCCGUAGGAACAUCCGAGGCGAAAGCGGCUCGCUGGAUCACAACUGACGCUGAGGGACGAAAGCUAGGGGAGCAAACAGG